UCCGUCCCCCCUCAGCUGUAAGUCCCCCAUGCAUGAGCAGAAGCAGGGCAGUCCCUGCAGACAAGCAGCCCAUGCUGCCUUGAUGUGCCUGCAGGCGCUGCCUGGGGAGCGCACAAGAGGUGGAAGCAAGUCCUGUAAAACCUGCAGAGCCUGUCCUGCCAAGAUGAGCAUCUUGCCGUGGAGAACUGCCUGGGAUGAUGUUUGCAAGGCUGUGAGCCUCCCUCCUAGGCUGGGGAGGCUGCCUGCAAGGCUGCCUGGCGUGGAGCAGGGCUGUGGCCGUGGGAUACCUGCCUGCUCCCAGGUGGACUCCCGGGCACCAGCACGGGGAGUGCUCUCUCCAGCAGACGGGGACAUUUUUCCCCUGGGGUCAAGUGAGCCGCAACCACAGGGCAUUCCAGUCCAAGCACUGCUGAUUUCUGCUUUUGCCCAUCUGAAGAAACGAACGGGUGUGCUGACACGCCAGCGCUGGCCCGGCUCCACGCCGCAGCCUGCCGCUCCGCCGCGCUCGGGAGGAGCGCUCCGAGGAAAGGAAGCCAAGAUGCCCUCGUGCUGCCCGAGCUGCCCCCGCUGCUGCUGGUGGUGGAAAUGGAAAUGCUGAGCCUCGAGUGGGUCUCUGGCCUGGCCUCAGCAUCUGUGCUUGUGCUUUGCCCUUUUUUCCCUUUCCAGGGCAUACUCCGGGGAUGGGAGCUGGGGGCUCUUCGUCUUUGUGGCCAUGCUCCCUGGCCAGCAUUUAACAGCUGUUAGUGAUUUAGGGGAAAAUUCUCAUCCUUGUAGUCACAACAUGCUGCUAAAUACCAUGCAACUUAGAGUAAAGGUAUUGUAAGUAACCUUUUGGUUAUCAGGUAGAGAACCUGGGGAGCUUGGAGGCUGAGAGCUGGAGACACAAGGACUUGGUGAGCCCAGGAGGAUGGGGUGGGUGUGCGGUGGCAGAGGAGAGCUGCUGGGUGGCCAGGGACCAUGGGACAUGUCCUGGUCCUGGUCCUGGUCCUGGUGGGACUGUCAGGGACCUGGCAGCACCGCACCAAGGCCCUGGGCAUUGCAAGGACGAGGAGCACACAGGAGCGUGCAGCAGGAGGGAGGGCAGCUGCGCGGCAGGGAGAGGUCUGAAACAAUCCCGAGCAAAUAACAGGGCGGAGGAGCCCCAGCUGCUGCCGGCCAGGCUCCAUUGUGCCCAUUUCCAGCAAUCUGGGAACACAAUUUGUGCUCUGACUGUUCCAGUCCGUGGUAGUAUUUUUUUUCUCCUACGUUGAUUUUGUGCUAAAAUGAACCGCCCUGAAAAGAGACAUUUUGUUGUUGUUGUUGGAUUAUUUCUGAGAUGCUUUGUCAGCACACCAUGCGACACCCAUGCAGGGAGGUGGAGCUGCUGCAGCCACGGGGGGAUACCCGAGGUCACCCCCCAGCACCCUGCAGCAGGUGGAUGGGGUGGUGCAGCCCCAUAGCUGCUUCUUUGUUCCCAAACCUGCAACGUCCACAGCCCCAGGUGCCUCCAGCAUGGUGCUGGGACCACAUCCUCUUGCUUGGAGUACGUGGUACAAAGUGGCUCUGUCUAAAAUUUUUAUUUUUCCUGUGGUUUUGACCAAAUC
RNAcentral lists this long non-coding RNA (1583 nucleotides) under Anas platyrhynchos platyrhynchos (common mallard). RNAcentral describes it as "lncRNA (ENSAPLG00000030653.1)". Lineage: Eukaryota; Metazoa; Chordata; Aves; Anseriformes; Anatidae. The record is from RNAcentral.